RNAcentral lists this ribosomal RNA (553 nucleotides) under uncultured Nitrososphaerota archaeon. RNAcentral describes it as "bacterial SSU rRNA". It matches the Rfam family "Archaeal small subunit ribosomal RNA", at positions 325 to 879 of the family's 1478-position model. The record is from RNAcentral. Lineage: Archaea; Thermoproteati; Nitrososphaerota.
ACGGGGCGCAGCAGGCGCGAAACCUUUGCAAUGUGCGCAAGCACGACAAGGUUAAUCCGAGUGUUUCCUGCUAAAGGAAUCUUUUGUUAGUCGUAAAACCACUGAUGAAUAAGGGGUGGGCAAGUUCUGGUGUCAGCCGCCGCGGUAAAACCAGCACCUCAAGUGGUCAGGAGGAUUAUUGGGCCUAAAGCAUCCGUAGCCGGCUCUGCAAGUUUUCGGUUAAAUCCAUUUGCUUAACAAAUGGGCUGCCGAAAAUACUACAUAGCUAGGGAGUGGGAGAGGUAGACGGUAUUCGGUAGGAAGGGGUAAAAUCCUUUGAUCUAUUGAGGACCACCUAUGGCGAAGGCAGUCUAUCAGAACACGUUCGACGGUGAGGGAUGAAAGCUGGGGGAGCAAACCGGAUUAGAUACCCGGGUAGUCCCAGCUGUAAACGAUGCAGACUCGGUGAUGCACUGGCUUGUGGCCAGUGCAGUGCCGCAGGGAAGCCGUUAAGUUUGCCGCCUGGGAAGUACGUACGCAAGUAUGAAACUUAAAGGAAUUGGCGGGGGAGCAC